Molecule: non-coding RNA, 115 nt
Organism: Candidatus Pacearchaeota archaeon CG1_02_30_18
Lineage: Archaea; Nanobdellati
Source: Rfam
GAAGACGGCCAUAGUAGGUUGGAAACACCUGUUCUCUUCCCGAACACAGAAGUUAAGCUUCCUACGUUACUGGCUCUAGUGUCCGAAAAGAUGCGAACCCAAUAAGUCGUCUUUC